This is a long non-coding RNA of Papaver somniferum (opium poppy), 2213 nucleotides long. RefSeq lists it as uncharacterized. The transcript has 3 exons. Lineage: Eukaryota; Viridiplantae; Streptophyta; Magnoliopsida; Ranunculales; Papaveraceae. The record is from RefSeq and is a predicted model, not a curated record.
UUGGCUGCCAAAGUUGAAAAAAUGAAUUUUCUUCCAGUUAUUGGUAGUCAAAAGGACUAGAAAACUGAAAAGACAUCUUGCGUAAUGACAUACGUUUGUCACUUAUAAUUAUCAUAACAGGGACUUGUGUUGCCACUAUUACUCGCCCCAUCUGCAUCAAAUGCAUUAACUUGUCACCUAAUUCUUGAUUUUUUGUUCUUUGUAAAUCUGUUGAAAUUUUGGCUUCAUGUUUACAGGUCUCUUCUCUUAUGACUCACCACUGCUACCUUAAUCUGAAACUAUAUAUCAUAGCUUUUAGAGGAAGUAAAUUCCAAGCUUGAUAUCUCGUCAGUAUGUCACAGGCGGAUCAGGAUAAGUACACUUCACCUGUACCAGUAAUUGGCUUAUAUACAGCAGCGGCAACAUUGAUUUGUUUUCUACUCAUGCUUUAUGAUAUAUCAAUGGGUUUUCAUCGAAAAAAGCCAUGGUUACCUUUGGAUGCUCUGCCACGGAAAGUAGUCAUAGCUCAUGCAGGAAUGUUGAAGGGAAGCGUCUAACACCUUUAACCGCUUGAUCUCUUCUCGACUUCAUCGUUAAUAGCUUCAGAUGGUUCAUCUUGCAUGGUUUGCUCGGUUGUCGUAUGAUAGUGGGAAGAUGCAACAAUGUGUAUGUCAGGUUCUUGUUUCAUUGGUCUGUCGAAGAAGUUGUUAAGAUUCAAUGUUAAUUCUCUAAUCUAUCCUUGGAAGUAAUUGCUUUGCCCGGACCGUACACUUUCAUAAUUGAUGGUUUUAUCAAGAGUUGAGCUGAUGGCAUAAGGAUAGGUGAGGCGAAUAGCUUGUUCUUCAUCAUUGGCUCUAUCUCCUCCCCCUUAUUUUCUUUUCUGGAUUUGGUAACUUGUUUCACGCAAUUGGUUGCUCCUUCCGCGAUUUCAAGGCUGAACUAAUCAAAGGCUCGUGGCGUUUAUCUCUUUGGUUCUUCUUUUCCCGCAGGCUUAGUCUUGCAUUAACAACUUCAAAUCUCUUUCUCGUGUCCAGAUCUUGUGAUUGUGCUUCUACUUCGGCAUUAUACAUACGCCUUCUACAGUUCUCUCGGGUGGGCUUCAGUAAUCAGUAGCUCUCGUUAGUGCAAAUAAGUUAUACGAGUUGUUGAUGCAGUUCAUCUUAGAAGAUGAUCAAUUAGAGACUAUCUAGGAGUUUUUCCGUGAAAUUGUGAGGGCAUUAGUUCGUCACUAUGUUGGCAGGGUUCUCAUCACCCCCUCGUUUUUGGUUCCGAAUUAGCUAUGCCGUUGAAGUUCUUUAUUUUCUCUCGAUGAGGAUUAUUUCUUUGGGUAGUGAGGACGGAGGAGAGAGAAGCAAGAUGAGGCGGCUAAUGGGAAACAGUGGUAGUGCCCUCCGAUAAUGGUGAGGGUGACACUUUGAUAGUGCGGGCGGAUUCUGAUGGUGGUGGUUAUUUUGAUUUAGUGGAGUUGAAAGUUGUUUGAAUAGGUUGCUGCUGUUACUCGUGAUGGAGAUGAUCGUGAUGCUGUUUCGAUGGUGCAGUCGAGAGGAGUAGGAGCAUGGGUAUUAUCGAGAAGAUAGUGUGAUUCUGUAGCGGUUUGUCAUCAUCCGUAAUUGAUUAAUAGUAAAGGUUGGCGUGUUGGUCUAUCAUGGUAUUACUGGCACGAAUGUUGGCAGUGAUGACGAGUUUGGAUCAGUAAGAAAGGAUGGAAAAACCUGAGUAAGCAAGCUACUCUUCACUGCUUAGGAUCAUUUAGUCAAUGAGAACUGUUGACAGUAGUUGCACUUAUGAUAGGUGGAAGAUAGUAAUGUUUCAUCUAGAAAGCCCGUAGUCAUCUGUCUUGGUUUGCAGUGUGGCGUUUUUGUCAUAAGUCGUGAGAGUGAACUGCCAAAGACAUAAAUUUCCGAAGACGUUGACAGAGAGGUUCUUCCGAAGAUAUGAACUUUUGUUUUAAAUUGCAUCCUCAAGGUGUGGCACCUUUGUAGAUUUGAGUCAUAUCCGAUGUCGUAUGCAUCUUUUGUAUGAGCUUGGUUUCGGUGGAUGUUAUCGGAUGCAAAUCCUCAAUAGCUACUCACAUCUUUUGUGUGAGCUUGGUUUCGGUGGGUGUUAUCGGAUUCAAAUCCUCAAUAGCUACUCACACAGGAAUAUUCAAAAUCAUUCAUGUCAAUAGGAAAUCCAUAGAAGAGUCCUUCUGUAAAGCAUAUUAGCAUACACCUGCGUUCAUGGACUGUAUCAAA